This 499-nucleotide ribosomal RNA is filed under the name uncultured bacterium. RNAcentral describes it as "partial 16S ribosomal RNA". It matches the Rfam family "Bacterial small subunit ribosomal RNA", at positions 28 to 507 of the family's 1533-position model. The record is from RNAcentral.
GACGAACGCUGGCGGCGUGCCUAAUACAUGCAAGUCGAGCGAAGUUUUUCUGGUGCUUGCCCUAGAAACACUUAGCGGCGAACGGGUGAGUAACACGUAAAGAACCUGCCUCAUAGACUGGGACAACUAUUGGAAACGAUAGCUAAUACCGGAUAACAGUAUUUCUCGCAUGAGAGAUAUUUAAAAGUUGGUUAUGCUAACACUAUGAGAUGGCUUUGCGGUGCAUUAGCUAGUUGGUGGGGUAAAGGCCCACCAAGGCGACGAUGCAUAGCCGACCUGAGAGGGUGAUCGGCCACACUGGGACUGAGACACGGCCCAGACUCCUACGGGAGGCAGCAGUAGGGAAUCUUCCGCAAUGGGCGAAAGCCUGACGGAGCAACGCCGCGUGAGUGAAGAAGGAUUUCGGUUCGUAAAGCUCUGUUGUUAGGGAAGAAUGGAUAUGUAGUAACUAUACAUGUAAGAGACGGUACCUAACCAGAAAGCCACGGCUAACUACGUG